This 29-nucleotide non-coding RNA is filed under the name Mus musculus (house mouse). Lineage: Eukaryota; Metazoa; Chordata; Mammalia; Rodentia; Muridae. The record is from RNAcentral.
UAGUUAGGUUCCUCAUUAUUUGGUGAAUC